GAUGAACGCUGGCGGCGUGUCUAACACAUGCAAGUCGAGCGAUCUUCUUCGGAAGAGAGCGGCGGACGGGUGAGUAACGCGUGGGUAACCUGCCUCAUACACAUGGAUAACAUACCGAAAGGUAUGCUAAUACAAGAUGAUAUAAGAGAUUCGCAUGGAUUUCUUAUCAAAGCUCCGGCGGUAUGAGAUGGACCCGCGUCUGAUUAGCUAGUUGGUAAGGUAAUGGCUUACCAAGGCGACGAUCAGUAGCCGACCUGAGAGGGUGAUCGGCCACAUUGGAACUGAGACACAGUCCAAACUCCUACGGGAGGCAGCAGUGGGGAAUAUUGCACAAUGGGCGAAAGCCUGAUGCAGCAACGCCGCGUGAGCGAUGAAGGCCUUCGGGUCGUAAAGCUCUGUCCUCAAGGAAGAUAAUGACGGUACUUGAGGAGGAAGCCCCGGCUAACUACGUGCCAGCCGCCGCCGUAA
This 468-nucleotide ribosomal RNA is filed under the name uncultured bacterium. RNAcentral describes it as "partial 16S ribosomal RNA". It matches the Rfam family "Bacterial small subunit ribosomal RNA", at positions 28 to 523 of the family's 1533-position model. The record is from RNAcentral.